GUCAAGUCGGAUGUGAAAUCCCCGGGCUCAACCUGGGAACUGCAUUCGAAACUGGCAGGCUAGAGUCUUGUAGAGGGGGGUAGAAUUCCAGGUGUAGCGGUGAAAUGCGUAGAGAUCUGGAGGAAUACCGGUGGCGAAGGCGGCCCCCUGGACAAAGACUGACGCUCAGGUGCGAAAGCGUGGGGAGCAAACAGGAUUAGAUAC
Molecule: ribosomal RNA, 204 nt
Filed under: Klebsiella aerogenes
Lineage: Bacteria; Pseudomonadati; Pseudomonadota; Gammaproteobacteria; Enterobacterales; Enterobacteriaceae
Also listed under: 1 other name
Description: partial 16S ribosomal RNA
Rfam family: Bacterial small subunit ribosomal RNA
Source: RNAcentral